This 407-nucleotide ribosomal RNA is filed under the name Verrucomicrobiota bacterium. RNAcentral's name for it is "Verrucomicrobia bacterium partial 16S ribosomal RNA". It matches the Rfam family "Bacterial small subunit ribosomal RNA", at positions 355 to 776 of the family's 1533-position model. The record is from RNAcentral. Lineage: Bacteria; Pseudomonadati; Verrucomicrobiota.
UGGGGAAUAUUGGACAAUGGAGGAAACUCUGAUCCAGCAAUUCUGUGUGUGUGAAGAAGGUUUUAGGACUGUAAAACACUUUUAGUAGGGAAGAAAAAAAUGACGGUACCUACAGAAGAAGCAACGUCUAAAUACGUGCCAGCAGCCGCGGUAAUACGUAUGUUGCGAGCGUUAUCCGGAAUUAUUGGGCUUAAAGGGCAUCUAGGCGGUAAGACAAGUUGAAGGUGAAAACCUGUGGCUCAACCAUAGGCUUGCCUACAAAACUGUUGAACUAGAGUACUGGAAAGGUGGGUGGAACUACACGAGUAGAGGUGAAAUUCGUAGAUAUGUGUAGGAAUGCCGAUGAUGAAGAUAACUCACUGGACAGAAACUGACGCUGAAGUGCGAAAGCUAGGGGAGCAAACAGG